Molecule: ribosomal RNA, 351 nt
Filed under: uncultured bacterium
Lineage: Bacteria
Description: bacterial SSU rRNA
Rfam family: Bacterial small subunit ribosomal RNA
Source: RNAcentral
AGAGUUUGAUCAUGGCUCAGGAUGAACGCUAGCUACAGGCUUAACACAUGCAAGUCGAGGGGCAGCAUGGUCUUAGCUUGCUAAGGCCGAUGGCGACCGGCGCACGGGUGAGUAACACGUAUCCAACCUGCCGUCUACUCUUGGACAGCCUUCUGAAAGGAAGAUUAAUACAAGAUGGCAUCAUGAGUCCGCAUGUUCACAUGAUUAAAGGUAUUCCGGUAGACGAUGGGGAUGCGUUCCAUUAGAUAGUAGGCGGGUAACGGCCCACCUAGUCUUCGAUGGAUAGGGGUUCUGAGAGGAAGGUCCCCCANAUUGGAACUGAGACACGGUCCAAACUCCGUACGGGAGGGA